This is a long non-coding RNA of Callithrix jacchus (white-tufted-ear marmoset), 1917 nucleotides long. Lineage: Eukaryota; Metazoa; Chordata; Mammalia; Primates; Cebidae. The record is from Ensembl.
GCUUCUCUUAAAAAUAGUAUUGCUAGAGUGAAAAAAUAACCAAAAGAUUCCCACCACUUUCAGAAUCCGCAGCCUGGAUGUCUCAGGAGAGAAGCUGGGUGUGCCUGUGCAUGUACGUGCCUUAUGAUGCUGUCCCUGGGAUGUGAGUUCUUUGCUCAGAUGGCAUUGGCAGAGGUGCCACGUGAUGGGUUUGGGAACAAGGAAGAAAGGCAAAGAGGAGAUUGGACAAAGACACGUAGAAACACAAUACAUUGUAGGAGUGGUAAAAGGAGCAUCACAAGAAUCUUGACAAACUGCUCAGACCUCCUUAACUGGGGCUCGUGCCAGCUUCUCAAGAAUGGGAACAAGGCCUUCUUCAUCUCUGCAUGGUCUGGUAGCUCAGUGCCUGGCACUUGGUGGACAUUCAUUAAAUGAAUGAAUGUAUGAAUCAAUGAAUGAAUGAACACAUGAACAAUUCUCCUGUCAUGCAUUAUCUGCUGAAGAUGCCGGCUAUAAGUUCACAGGACUGUUCCUCUCUUCUCCCGCCCAUAUUUUGCUCACCUCAAUACCAGCCCACACUGUCUUCCUGGACUUCCUGUGAUUCUUUCAGUGAUCACAUAGUCAUUGCUGCAUAAUUUAAGUGUCCCUGUUCCUUGCAGCUGCUUCCUGUAUGCUAGUCAUGUAAAGGCCCUUCUUAAGUGAUUGCAUCCCUCACAAUACUUAGCAUAUAUUGACUGUUGAUUGGUUGGAAAAUAACCCAUUAUAGGGGGAGGGGGCAGAAACUGACAUCAUGGAGUGUCAGGCACGGUGCUGGUGCUGUGCAUACACUCAAGAAGGGCCUGGGUAAUGCAGCAUGGUGAAGGGAAAAUGGCGGACAGAGCAAUUUCGUCAUCUGAAGGCCUUUCACAGAGAGGCCCUGAACCCAUGGCUCUCCUUCUCUGAGGAUAGAAAAGGAGGAAGUGUGUCUGUCCUGCAGGAUGUGGGAUGGAUAGAUGGAUGCGAAAUUAAGCACUGAAGUCGGUUGCUUGGAUAGGCAAUGACUGCCCCCUGCCCCCACUUGAAAAUCCUUGAAGGCAGAAGGGAUCAUCCACCCAGGAAGCUGAGGCUGCAGGAUAAGCUGGCCUUUUCCUGAACAGUGACAGUUGGAGCGUUCACCCUCACUGUCCUUGUCAGAGUUACAGACAAGAAAGAAGAAUCCUUUUGGGUAAAGUGUCUUAAAGGAACCGUUGAUUUACCCUUUUGCUUUAUGAUCUCCUGAUGUAGUGAGCAAGGUUCAGAAAGAUUAGCUAACUGCAAGCAGACCGACCUUUCUGUGCAGAAAAUAAGGUAGAUUCUCAUUAUCAUCCUGCUCAUUUCCCCAGGAAUUAUGUAUUCCCCGGCCAGAAAACGACCUCCAAACCUUUUCAACUACAUGCAGCAAAAGGCUGAUACAAUGCCUUCUGCAUUUGACUGUACGCCCCUUGCAGUGAUUAAUGCUGCCUCCCUAACUACAGUGUCGGGAACGACUGUCAAGCCCAAUUAUUUCUCUAGGAUCUCCUGAUAGUAAAUGCUCAGUAAAUACAUAGAUGAACAAUAGCCAAUCCUAUACAAUAAUCUUAGAGUACUUUCCCCACACAUUUCCUAACUGAAUCCUCACAACAACCCUGUGAACUAGUUACUGUGAUUAACUCCCAUUUUCCAGUUUAAGGAAACUGACGCUCAGCGAAGUUAACUGGUACAUCCUGUAUCAUACAGCAAAUAAGGAAGAAUUCUGCCCAGUACACCUUACUGAUUAAAUAAACUAUUUAGCCUGAAGAAAAAGUGUCAACUCAGUCUUUCUCCAUCACGCAUCUUAUCCCACGGAGCAACCUGCAUUAUAUUUCAGGUUCAGGCAAACUAAGUCCGCGCUUUAGUAUAUGGUGAAUAAAUGGAUGGACACAGUGGCGGCUUUGUAUAAAG